AUCGGGGGUGCUGCCAAUCGGCGGCUGAGACGGCGUUUGCCGAACCCUUUUACCUGAUACGGAUAAUACCGGCGUAGGGAGAUUUUCAA
Molecule: non-coding RNA, 89 nt
Filed under: bovine gut metagenome
Description: TPP riboswitch (THI element)
Rfam family: TPP riboswitch aptamer (THI element)
About the family: Vitamin B(1) in its active form thiamin pyrophosphate (TPP) is an essential coenzyme that is synthesised by coupling of pyrimidine and thiazole moieties in bacteria. The previously detected thiamin-regulatory element, thi box was extended, resulting in a new, highly conserved RNA secondary structure, the THI element, which is widely distributed in eubacteria and also occurs in some archaea.
Source: RNAcentral